RNAcentral lists this ribosomal RNA (252 nucleotides) under uncultured bacterium. Its description in RNAcentral is "partial 16S ribosomal RNA". It matches the Rfam family "Bacterial small subunit ribosomal RNA", at positions 524 to 776 of the family's 1533-position model. The record is from RNAcentral.
UACGUAGGGGGCAAGCGUUGUCCGGAAUUAUUGGGCGUAAAGCGCGCGCAGGCGGCCUGUUAAGUCUGGUGUAUAAACUCAGGGCUCAACCUUGAGGCGCACCGGAUACUGGGAGGCUAGAGUGCAGGAGAGGGAAGUGGAAUUCCACGUGUAGCGGUGAAAUGAGUAGAGAUGUGGAGGAACACCAGUGGCGAAGGCGACUUCCUGGCCUGUAACUGACGCUGAGGCGCGAAAGCGUGGGGAGCAAACAGG